GGCGCCCCCGGAGGUCAUCAAACACUGCAUCUUUGCGUCGGAGUCUUAAAGUAAAUUUAAACAAAACUUUCAACAACGGAUCUCUUGGUUCUGGCAUCGAUGAAGAACGCAGCGAAAUGCGAUAAGUAAUGUGAAUUGCAGAAUUCAGUGAAUCAUCGAAUCUUUGAACGCACAUUGCGCCCCGUGGUAUUCCGCGGGGCAUGCCUGUUCGAGCGUCAUUUCACCACUCAAGCCUAGCUUGGUAUUGGGCGUCGCGGUUCCGCGCGCCUUAAAGUCUCCGGCUGAGCAGUUCGUCUCUAAGCGUUGUGGCAUAUAUUUCGCUGAAGAGUUCGGACGGCUUUUGGCCGUUAAAUCUUUCUUAAGGUUGACCUCGGAUCAGGUAGGGAUACCCGCUGAACUUAAGCAUAUCAAUAAGCGGAGGAA
This 423-nucleotide ribosomal RNA is filed under the name fungal sp. NLR-2013. RNAcentral's name for it is "eukaryotic LSU rRNA". The stretch from base 65 to 218 matches the Rfam family "5.8S ribosomal RNA". The record is from RNAcentral. Lineage: Eukaryota; Fungi.